GAGAGUAGACGUAGGUGGUUGCAGAUUGGUGAUUAACACCGGUUUGAGGAAAGUCCGGGCUCCCGAAAGACCAAACUUGCUGGAUAACGUCCAGUACGAGCGAUCGUGAGGAAAGUGCCACAGAAAAAUACCGCCAGUUUUCAGAAUGCUAAUUCUAGAGUUGGUAAGGGUGCAAAGGUGCGGUAAGAGCGCACCAGCAGUAUCGAGAGGUACUGGCUCGGUAAACCCCGGUUGGGAGCAAGGCCAGAGAAACUAUGGUUGGUCUUUUACCAGUUUCGGCAAAUUAGAGCCGCUUGAGGUAGUUGGUAACAACUAUCCCAGACAGAUAACUACCCUCGCAAGAGAACAGAACCCGGCUUAUGUGCUGCUCUCUCUU
This 376-nucleotide RNase P RNA is filed under the name Cylindrospermopsis raciborskii CS-505. RNAcentral's name for it is "RNase P RNA component class A". It matches the Rfam family "Bacterial RNase P class A". Rfam says of the family: Ribonuclease P (RNase P) is a ubiquitous endoribonuclease, found in archaea, bacteria and eukarya as well as chloroplasts and mitochondria. Its best characterised activity is the generation of mature 5'-ends of tRNAs by cleaving the 5'-leader elements of precursor-tRNAs. Cellular RNase Ps are ribonucleoproteins. The record is from RNAcentral. RNAcentral also lists the same sequence under 26 other names. Lineage: Bacteria; Bacillati; Cyanobacteriota; Cyanophyceae; Nostocales; Aphanizomenonaceae.